This 432-nucleotide ribosomal RNA is filed under the name uncultured bacterium. RNAcentral describes it as "partial 16S ribosomal RNA". It matches the Rfam family "Bacterial small subunit ribosomal RNA", at positions 338 to 795 of the family's 1533-position model. The record is from RNAcentral.
CCUACGGGUGGCUGCAGUCGAGAAUCUUCGGCAAUGGGCGAAAGCCUGACCGAGCGACGCCGUGUGUGGGAUGAAGGCCUUCGGGUUGUAAACCACUGUCGUAGAGGAGGUCUUACAUCAGGAGGAAGGACGGGCUAAAUACGUGCCAGCAGCCGCGGUAAUACGUAUCAUCCAAACGUUAUUCGGAAUUACUGGGCUUAAAGGGUACGUAGGCGGCGCUGUCAGUCGGGUGUGAAAUCCCACGGCUCAACCGUGGAACUGCGCCCGAUACUGCAGUGCUUGAGGGAGACAGAGGUAAGCGGAACUGAUGGUGGAGCGGUGAAAUGCGUUGAUAUCAUCAGGAACACCAGUGGCGAAAGCGGCUUACUGGGUCUCUCUGACGCUGAGGUACGAAAGCUAGGGGAGCGAAGGGGAUUAGAUACCCUUGUAGUC